AGCGAACGCUGGCGGCAGGCUUAACACAUGCAAGUCGAGCGGGCAUAGCAAUAUGUCAGCGGCAGACGGGUGAGUAACGCGUGGGAACGUACCUUUUGGUUCGGAACAACUGAGGGAAACUUCAGCUAAUACCUGAUAAGCCCUUACGGGGAAAGACUUAUCGCCGAAAGAUCGGCCCGCGUCUGAUUAGCUAGUUGGUGAUGUAAUGGCUCACCAAGGCGACGAUCAGUAGCUGGACUGCGAGGAUGAUGAGCCACAUUAGGACUGAGACACGACCCAAACUCCGACGGGAGGCGGCAGUGGGGAAGAUUGGACAAUGGGCGCAAGCCUGAGCCAGCCAUGCCGCGUGAGUGAUGAAGGCCCUAGGGUUGUAAAGCUCUUUUGUGCGGGAAGAUAAUGACGGUACCGCAAGAAUAAGCCCCGGCUAACUUCGUGCCAGCAGCCGCAGUAA
This 451-nucleotide ribosomal RNA is filed under the name uncultured bacterium. Its description in RNAcentral is "partial 16S ribosomal RNA". It matches the Rfam family "Bacterial small subunit ribosomal RNA", at positions 29 to 523 of the family's 1533-position model. The record is from RNAcentral.